This 115-nucleotide ribosomal RNA is filed under the name Schistosoma mansoni. Lineage: Eukaryota; Metazoa; Platyhelminthes; Trematoda; Strigeidida; Schistosomatidae. The record is from RNAcentral.
ACCGGCGACCAUACCACGUUGAAAGCACUGGUUCUCGUCCGAUCACCGCAAUUAAGCAACGUUGGGCCCGGUCAGUACUUGCAAAGUAUUAGUAGGAAUAAGAAACAUCCCAGUC